Molecule: ribosomal RNA, 659 nt
Filed under: Escherichia coli
Lineage: Bacteria; Pseudomonadati; Pseudomonadota; Gammaproteobacteria; Enterobacterales; Enterobacteriaceae
Description: bacterial LSU rRNA
Rfam family: Bacterial large subunit ribosomal RNA
Source: RNAcentral
CUCCUCCUAAAGAGUAACGGAGGAGCACGAAGGUUGGCUAAUCCUGGUCGGACAUCAGGAGGUUAGUGCAAUGGCAUAAGCCAGCUUGACUGCGAGCGUGACGGCGCGAGCAGGUGCGAAAGCAGGUCAUAGUGAUCCGGUGGUUCUGAAUGGAAGGGCCAUCGCUCAACGGAUAAAAGGUACUCCGGGGAUAACAGGCUGAUACCGCCCAAGAGUUCAUAUCGACGGCGGUGUUUGGCACCUCGAUGUCGGCUCAUCACAUCCUGGGGCUGAAGUAGGUCCCAAGGGUAUGGCUGUUCGCCAUUUAAAGUGGUACGCGAGCUGGGUUUAGAACGUCGUGAGACAGUUCGGUCCCUAUCUGCCGUGGGCGCUGGAGAACUGAGGGGGGCUGCUCCUAGUACGAGAGGACCGGAGUGGACGCAUCACUGGUGUUCGGGUUGUCAUGCCAAUGGCACUGCCCGGUAGCUAAAUGCGGAAGAGAUAAGUGCUGAAAGCAUCUAAGCACGAAACUUGCCCCGAGAUGAGUUCUCCCUGACUCCUUGAGGGUCCUGAAGGAACGUUGAAGACGACGACGUUGAUAGGCCGGGUGUGUAAGCGCAGCGAUGCGUUGAGCUAACCGGUACUAAUGAACCGUGAGGCUUAACCUUACAACGCCGAAG